This 469-nucleotide ribosomal RNA is filed under the name uncultured bacterium. RNAcentral's name for it is "bacterial SSU rRNA". It matches the Rfam family "Bacterial small subunit ribosomal RNA", at positions 328 to 794 of the family's 1533-position model. The record is from RNAcentral.
UGGCCAGACUCCUACGGGAGGCAGCAGUGAGGAAUAUUGGUCAAUGGGCGCGAGCCUGAACCAGCCAAGUCGCGUGAGGGAGGACGGCCCUACGGGUUGUAAACCUCUUUUGCCGGGGAGCAACGGGCGUCACGUGUGGCGCCACUGAGAGUACCCGGAGAAAAAGCAUCGGCUAACUCCGUGCCAGCAGCCGCGGUAAUACGGAGGAUGCGAGCGUUAUCCGGAUUUAUUGGGUUUAAAGGGUGCGCAGGCGGAAUGUCAAGUCAGCGGUAAAAUUUCGGGGAUCAACCCCGUCGUGCCGUUGAAACUGGCGUUCUUGAGUGAGCGAGAAGUAUGCGGAAUGCGUGGUGUAGCGGUGAAAUGCAUAGAUAUCACGCAGAACUCCGAUUGCGAAGGCAGCAUACCGGCGCUCAACUGACGCUCAUGCACGAAAGCGUGGGUAUCGAACAGGAUUAGAUACCCUAGUAUA